Molecule: long non-coding RNA, 1566 nt
Organism: Capsicum annuum
Lineage: Eukaryota; Viridiplantae; Streptophyta; Magnoliopsida; Solanales; Solanaceae
Exons: 2
Source: RefSeq, a predicted model, not a curated record
GAAACAAACUCUUCUCGGCUAUUUUUUACCAUCUACGUGCCUGUAAUGUUCAAACAAUAAGUACAUACAGUGAGGAGAGUUAUCACUGGCAGGUGUGAGUCAACCAUGUGUUAGGAUCGAUUUGCGUACACACAGUAGAUCUACGGAGAGGAUGAAGAAAACAAGAGAGAGAGUUUGUGAGGAGAGAGAGAGAUGAGUGAGAAAUGAUAUCGUGGUAACACCCGUAGGUAAACUCCACGGCAGAUGAGCUAUUUCUAUUAAUGAUUUAGAGUAUGUACAGUUACACAGAGAAAUGAGAAUAAACAGUACAAUCUAAAACUUCAUGUGCCCAUAACCACAACAAUCAUUGAAAUAACUCCUUUUUAAUGAGGGGUAAAUGGGUAAUUUGGUCAAAUUAUUAAUAUUAAUUAAGAGAAUUUAAAAGGAGUGGAUCACACCCACUCUUGUUCACACAUUAAGUUGCAGAGAAGUAGAAUAUUAGGGUUUUUUUUAAUCCCUUUAUUGCUGGAACGAAAAACAAGAAGUUUAUGGCGAAAUUUGGGAGAGUUGAAAGGCGAAAAUAGAGAUUUUGAACCACUUUUGCUGUUGUUUGGAGUGAUUUUAGCCUUCAGAUGUCGUUGAGCUGGGAGUGACCAGUGGCUGAGGAUAUGUACGUGUGAGUUCCGUUGCUGAGGUGAGCCUUCCCAUUGUUCGUGGAGGAUGUCAUUUAGCUUUAGAUCUUUUCAGAUUAUGUUUCUUUUCGCUGGGUUUAUAUGCCUGAAAGUUGAACUCAUGUAACUCUGUUUUGAUGCUCCAUGAUCUUAGUGUGGAAUUUGGGCUAGAGGUUUAUUAUUUAAAGUAUUGUUGCUUCCAUAAAUCGUUAUACGAUAAUUGGUUGGAUAAUAACUGUGCAUUUAAUUGGUAUUUCAUGCAUUUGGAGUGCAUAUAUUUUUAUCUCGGUGUUUAUAGACAUUGUGCAUGUAUGGGAAAUCGGUUCUCCCGGAAAGUGGUGUUAGCGGGAGCCAGUCACACCUAGGGGUUAAUUUGUGACGUGACAAUCAUAUUGUUCCUUUCUUUUUAUUUCUAAUCUGAUACUUUCUUUCGCUUAAUUGCUCUAUGUUGAUCUCAAACUAACGAGGUUGUGUUUGAAUUUGACUACUGCCGCAAAAGCACAAACUGAGUGGAUAUCGUGUUCCUUAAACUUAAGAUCUUGAAACAGGUGAGGUUAGAUAUCUCAACUUGGGAUGUCUCAGACGACUCAUUUCCCAUGCUUGAAACACUAUUUAUAAGUGCUUGUACCGAGCUCGAGGUGAUCCCUUUCAGCUUUGCUGAUAUUCCGACACUGAAACAGAUUAAAUUGAUUAGGUGCGACAACAAAACUCUGGAGACUUCAGCAUUGAAAAUUAAGAAUGACGUCGAAGAGAAUGAAGGAUGCGACCGUGUAAACCUGCUCACUAUCGAAGUAACUAGAAACAAACUCAUAUGUGUUGUUUUUGAGUCUAUACGUGCAUCUAAUUUCAGAACUAUGAUUCCUGGAAGCCGCGAUUAAAGCCCACAGCAUAAAAAUAUGAUAUUGUUUUUUUGAUU